AAAUUGAAGAGUUUGAUCAUGGCUCAGAUUGAACGCUGGCGGCAGGCCUAACACAUGCAAGUCGAGCGGUAGCACAGAGAGCUUGCUCUCGGGUGACGAGCGGCGGACG
Molecule: ribosomal RNA, 109 nt
Filed under: Klebsiella pneumoniae
Lineage: Bacteria; Pseudomonadati; Pseudomonadota; Gammaproteobacteria; Enterobacterales; Enterobacteriaceae
Also listed under: 1 other name
Description: partial 16S ribosomal RNA
Rfam family: Bacterial small subunit ribosomal RNA
Source: RNAcentral